This 28-nucleotide non-coding RNA is filed under the name Rattus norvegicus (Norway rat). Lineage: Eukaryota; Metazoa; Chordata; Mammalia; Rodentia; Muridae. The record is from RNAcentral.
UGACUAGGGCACAUGGUCUUGCGCUUGC